CAGUCGCCGCGGGAACACGGAGGGAGCUAGCGUUGUUCGGAAUUACUGGGCGUAAAGCGCACGUAGGCGGCUUUGUAAGUUAGAGGUGAAAGCCUGGAGCUCAACUCCAGAAUUGCCUUUAAGACUGCAUCGCUUGAAUCCGGGAGAGGUGAGUGGAAUUCCGAGUGUAGAGGUGAAAUUCGUAGAUAUUCGGAAGAACACCAGUGGCGAAGGCGGCUCACUGGACCGGCAUUGACGCUGAGGUGCGAAAGCGUGGGGAGCAAACAGGAUUAGAUACCCCAGUAGUCCCUGUCUCUUAUAC
Molecule: ribosomal RNA, 301 nt
Filed under: uncultured bacterium
Lineage: Bacteria
Description: partial 16S ribosomal RNA
Rfam family: Bacterial small subunit ribosomal RNA
Source: RNAcentral